AACGAACGCUGGCGGCGUGGAUUAGGCAUGCAAGUCGAACGAUCCUUCGGGAUAGUGGCAAAAGGGUGAGUAACACGUGGGUAACCUACCUCCGAAACCGGGAUAACUUCGCGAAAGUGAGGCUAAUACCGGAUGAUACCACCGUAUGGUGGAUAAAGAUGGCCUCUAUUUAUAAGCUGUCGAUUGGAGAGGGGCCCGGGUCCUAUCAGCUUGUUGGUGAGGUAAUGGCUCACCAAGGCAUUUGACGGGUAGCUGGUCUGAGAGGAUGGUCAGCCACACUGGGACUGAGACACUGCCCAGACUCCUACGGGAGGCUGCAGUCGAGAAUCUUUAGCAAUGGGCGAAAGCCUGACUAUGCGACGCCGCGUGAGCGAUGAAGUCCUUCGGGAUGUAAAGCUCUGUCAGGUGGGAUGAAGACUUUUCUCUUAACAGGGGAAGAGGUUGACGGUACCACCAGAGAAGCCACGCUAACU
RNAcentral lists this ribosomal RNA (473 nucleotides) under uncultured bacterium. RNAcentral describes it as "bacterial SSU rRNA". It matches the Rfam family "Bacterial small subunit ribosomal RNA", at positions 29 to 502 of the family's 1533-position model. The record is from RNAcentral.